GAUCACCUCCCUUCCUCCCCACAUGUCCCAGCUGUCGACACCCCGCAGUCCUCACUAAGCGUUCCCUUCACGGCAGCAGCAGGUGGUUCCCCGUGAUUCCCCACCCCUGGCCCCAAAAACAAUUGUAGCGGAGGACGACCCACUAGUAAAUGGACCAACCGUCCACCGCAGAACCCCAGUCGAUCACCCCCAGGCUGGACUCCAAGGCGAUGGUUGCGGUGCUGACUCACCAGCACGGCUGGGGAGGAGGAGUUUCCCCGUGGUCGGCACAGUCUCACGUCUCCAGCACGGCAGCCGCAUCGAGCAGGAUGAGCGGAAUGGAAUCCCCACCCCUACAGUCUCCGCAGCAUACCCUUUAUUGAGUCGCACCCUUGUUUUUUUCCAUAUUGAUUAGCACGGCAUGCCCAUGAGUCCAAACCCUCGUGCUCCCGAGCUGAUCUAAUCCCCCGCACACCUGCAACCACUUUCGCACAAAGCCACCCCCGCGCGUCCCUCGCUCCUCAAUCAAAAGACACCCUGCCCCCAAAGCUAUCACUCUAACUGCGACAGCCAGCAUGUGUGAAAUUGCGUCCAGAGAAGAUGUGUAACCGAGAGUUUGAGACCGAUGUUCCAUAGCAUUCACAUACAGGUGUAGGUGUCAUCCAAUUGGAGAUGAGCUUUCUGUCCUUAUGAUGUAAUUAAUUGCAGAAGAGAAUUAGUUGAUAUGGAAUGCAUACUGCCUAUUAAAAACAUUAUUUAGGGGCAUAUUUUGAUAUAUAUGAAAUGAUUAUGUAUACAUUUUAACUGUUGGACAUUUCUAUUAAAAUUACUGCCAGGUGUG
Molecule: long non-coding RNA, 820 nt
Organism: Lethenteron reissneri (Far Eastern brook lamprey)
Lineage: Eukaryota; Metazoa; Chordata; Hyperoartia; Petromyzontiformes; Petromyzontidae
Source: RefSeq, a predicted model, not a curated record